RNAcentral lists this long non-coding RNA (578 nucleotides) under Elaeis guineensis (African oil palm). RNAcentral's name for it is "long non-coding RNA (EGUI_LNC022321)". Lineage: Eukaryota; Viridiplantae; Streptophyta; Magnoliopsida; Arecales; Arecaceae. The record is from RNAcentral.
CUGACCAAACUCAAACCCCAUUCUAGCUCACUUCUUCUAAGUUUGAUUGGUCACGCUAUGAGUUGGGUCAAAUAGGCAUUGAGUAGUCUCAAAAGCAAGUCAGGCAUGGGUUAGCCCCUAACCAGACCUAACCUCUUUGAGCUAUCAGCAAGCCUUCAUGGGCUAGAGUUGCACUACAUGUUACACCCAUGCAAGUUUCCAGUGCCUUACAGAAAGAAAAGGUUCGCAUAUUAAUUGUAAUAGAAACAUCACGUUUUUGUGUUAUGAAAGGAGGCACAAUAACAGCUUGCCUGAAAUGUUUGACCAUUAGCUCUUUGGACAAUGAAAUAGAAAACAAGACUACCGCCCUUCAUAGAUGUGUGGAUUUCACUGGACUAAUGGACCCCAUAGGCCACACCGCUCCUAGCUCAGCUACCUGAAAGUCAUAAAAGGUCUGCAUGCCUGGAGAAGAGUUAGUUCGUAAUAUAGUGGUCUAGCAAAUUUAAUGCAUCUAGAAAGAUCCAUUCUUUUGAAAGAAACUAAGGGUUAUUUUUAACACGCACAUAUGCACACACGAAGGAUCAUCUCAUCAAUCAUCA